AUUGAACGCUGGCGGCAGGCUUAACACAUGCAAGUCGAGCGGGGUGAUGGUGCUUGCACUAUCACUUAGCGGCGGACGGGUGAGUAAUGCUUAGGAAUCUGCCUAUUAGUGGGGGACAACAUCUCGAAAGGGAUGCUAAUACCGCAUACGUCCUACGGGAGAAAGCAGGGGAUCACUUGUGACCUUGCGCUAAUAGAUGAGCCUGAGUCGGAUUAGCUAGUUGGUGGGGUAAAGGCCUACCAAGGCGACAAUCUGUAGCGGGUCUGAGAGGAUGAUCCGCCACACUGGGACUGGAACACGGCCCAGACUCCUACGGGAGGCAGCAGUGGGGAAUAUUGGACAAUGGGGGGAACCCUGAUCCAGCCAUGCCGCGUGUGUGAAGAAGGCCUUAUGGUUGUAAAGCACUUUAAGCGAGGAGGAGGCUCUUUUGGUUAAUACCCAAGAUGAGUGGACGUUACUCGCAGAAUAAGCACCGGCUAACUCUGUGCCAGCCGCCGCGGUAA
This 503-nucleotide ribosomal RNA is filed under the name uncultured bacterium. RNAcentral describes it as "partial 16S ribosomal RNA". It matches the Rfam family "Bacterial small subunit ribosomal RNA", at positions 30 to 523 of the family's 1533-position model. The record is from RNAcentral.